GCUAGCUACAGGCUUAACACAUGCAAGUCGAGGGGCAGCAUCAUCAAAGCUUGCUUUGAUGGAUGGCGACCGGCGCACGGGUGAGUAACACGUAUCCAACCUGCCGACAACACUGGGAUAGCCUUUCGAAAGAAAGAUUAAUACCGGAUGGCAUAGUUUUCCCGCAUGGGAUAAUUAUUAAAGAAUUUCGGUUGUCGAUGGGGAUGCGUUCCAUUAGGCAGUUGGCGGGGUAACGGCCCACCAAACCAACGAUGGAUAGGGGUUCUGAGAGGAAGGUCCCCCACAUUGGAACUGAGACACGGUCCAAACUCCUACGGGAGGCAGCAGUGAGGAAUAUUGGUCAAUGGACGAGAGUCUGAACCAGCCAAGUAGCGUGAAGGAUGACUGCCCUAUGGGUUGUAAACUUCUUUUAUACGGGAAUAAAGUUAGCCACGUGUGGCUUUUUGUAUGUACCGUAUGAAUAAGGAUCGGCUAACUCCAUGCCAGCAGCCGCGGUAAUACGGAGGAUCCGAGCGUUAUCCGGAUUUAUUGGGUUUAAAGGGAGCGUAGGCGGGUUGUUAAGUCAGUUGUGAAAGUUUGCGGCUCAACCGUAAAAUUGCAGUUGAUACUGGCGACCUUGAGUGCAACAGAGGUAGGCGGAAUUCGUGGUGUAGCGGUGAAAUGCUUAGAUAUCACGAAGAACUCCGAUUGCGAAGGCAGCUUACUGGAUUGUAACUGACGCUGAUGCUCGAAAGUGUGGGUAUCAAACAGGAUUAGAUACCCUGGUAGUCCACACAGUAAACGAUGAAUACUCGCUGUUGGCGAUAUACGGUCAGCGGCCAAGCGAAAGCAUUAAGUAUUCCACCUGGGGAGUACGCCGGCAACGGUGAAACUCAAAGGAAUUGACGGGGGCCCGCACAAGCGGAGGAACAUGUGGUUUAAUUCGAUGAUACGCGAGGAACCUUACCCGGGCUUAAAUUGCAACUGACUGAACCGGAAACGGUUCUUUCUUCGGACAGUUGUGAAGGUGCUGCAUGGUUGUCGUCAGCUCGUGCCGUGAGGUGUCGGCUUAAGUGCCAUAACGAGCGCAACCCUUACGGGUAGUUACCAUCAGGUUAUGCUGGGGACUCUACCCGGACUGCCGUCGUAAGAUGUGAGGAAGGUGGGGAUGACGUCAAAUCAGCACGGCCCUUACGUCCGGGGCUACACACGUGUUACAAUGGGGGGUACAGAAGGCAGCUACACGGCGACGUGGUGCUAAUCCCGAAAGCCUCUCUCAGUUCGGAUUGGAGUCUGCAACCCGACUCCAUGAAGCUGGAUUCGCUAGUAAUCGCGCAUCAGCCACGGCGCGGUGAAUACGUUCCCGGGCCUUGUACACACCGCCCGUCAAGCCAUGAAAGCCGGGGGUACCUGAAGUACGUAACCGCGAGGAGCGUCCUAGGGUAAAACUGGUGAUUGGGGCU
This 1442-nucleotide ribosomal RNA is filed under the name uncultured organism. RNAcentral's name for it is "SSU rRNA". It matches the Rfam family "Bacterial small subunit ribosomal RNA". The record is from RNAcentral.